AUUGAACGCUGGCGGCAUGCCUUACACAUGCAAGUCGAACGGCAGCACGGGAGCAAUCCUGGUGGCGAGUGGCGAACGGGUGAGUAAUAUAUCGGAACGUGCCCGGUCGUGGGGGAUAACGUAGCGAAAGCUACGCUAAUACCGCAUACGAUCUACGGAUGAAAGCGGGGGAUCGCAAGACCUCGCGCGAUUGGAGCGGCCGAUAUCAGAUUAGGUAGUUGGUGAGGUAAAGGCUCACCAAGCCGACGAUCUGUAGCUGGUCUGAGAGGACGACCAGCCACACUGGGACUGAGACACGGCCCAGACUCCUACGGGAGGCAGCAGUGGGGAAUUUUGGACAAUGGGCGCAAGCCUGAUCCAGCAAUGCCGCGUGCAGGAUGAAGGCCUCGGUUGUAACGUAGCUUUGUUACGGUAACGG
RNAcentral lists this ribosomal RNA (418 nucleotides) under uncultured bacterium. RNAcentral's name for it is "bacterial SSU rRNA". It matches the Rfam family "Bacterial small subunit ribosomal RNA", at positions 30 to 449 of the family's 1533-position model. The record is from RNAcentral.